This 67-nucleotide transfer RNA is filed under the name Magallana gigas (Pacific oyster). Its description in RNAcentral is "Crassostrea gigas (Pacific oyster) tRNA". It matches the Rfam family "tRNA". Rfam says of the family: Transfer RNA (tRNA) molecules are approximately 80 nucleotides in length. Their secondary structure includes four short double-helical elements and three loops (D, anti-codon, and T loops). The record is from Rfam by way of RNAcentral. Lineage: Eukaryota; Metazoa; Mollusca; Bivalvia; Ostreida; Ostreidae.
CAGAUAAGCUCCAUUGGUAGAGCACCUGAAUAUAGAUUCAGGGGACUUGGGUUCGAAUCCCAGUCUG